AGCGAACGCUGGCGGCAGGCCUAACACAUGCAAGUCGAACGGAUCCUUCGGGAUUAGUGGCGGACGGGUGAGUAACAUGUGGGAACGUGCCCUUUGGUUCGGAACAACUCAGGGAAACUUGAGCUAAUACCGGAUGUGCCCUUCGGGGGAAAGAUUUAUCGCCAUUGGAGCGGCCCGCGUCUGAUUAGCUAGUUGGUGAGGUAACGGCCCACCAAGGCGACGAUCAGUAGCUGGUCUGAGAGGAUGAUCAGCCACACUGGGACUGAGACACGGCCCAGACUCCUACGGGAGGCAGCAGUGGGGAAUCUUGCGCAAUGGGCGAAAGCCUGACGCAGCCAUGCCGCGUGAAUGAUGAAGGUCUUAGGAUUGUAAAAUUCUUUCAGCGGGGACGAUAAUGACGGUACCCGCAGAAGAAGCUCCGGCUAACUUCGUG
RNAcentral lists this ribosomal RNA (433 nucleotides) under uncultured bacterium. Its description in RNAcentral is "partial 16S ribosomal RNA". It matches the Rfam family "Bacterial small subunit ribosomal RNA", at positions 29 to 507 of the family's 1533-position model. The record is from RNAcentral.